GUCUACGGCCAUACCACCCUGAACACGCCCGAUCUCGUCUGAUCUUGGAAGCUAAGCAGGGUCGGGCCUGGUUAGUACUUGGAUGGGAGACCUCCUGGGAAUACUGGGUGCUGUAGGCU
Molecule: ribosomal RNA, 119 nt
Filed under: Chelydra serpentina (North American snapping turtle)
Lineage: Eukaryota; Metazoa; Chordata; Testudines; Chelydridae
Source: RNAcentral